AGUGAACGCUGGCGGUAGGCCUAACACAUGCAAGUCGAACGGCAGCACAGUAAGAGCUUGCUCUUACGGGUGGCGAGUGGCGGACGGGUGAGGAAUACAUCGGAAUCUACUUUUUCGUGGGGGAUAACGUAGGGAAACUUACGCUAAUACCGCAUACGACCUACGGGUGAAAGCAGGGGAUCUUCGGACCUUGCGCGAUUGAAUGAGCCGAUGUCGGAUUAGCUAGUUGGCGGGGUAAAGGCCCACCAAGGCGACGAUCCGUAGCUGGUCUGAGAGGAUGAUCAGCCACACUGGAACUGAGACACGGUCCAGACUCCUACAGGAGGCAGCAGUGGGGAAUAUUGGACAAUGGGCGCAAGCCUGAUCCAGCCAUACCGCGUGGGUGAAGAAGGCCUUCGGGUUGUAAGGCCCUUUUGUUGGGAAAGAAAAGCAGCAGGUUAAUACCCCGCUGUUCUGACGGUACCCAAAGAAUAAGCACCGGCUAACUUCGUG
This 492-nucleotide ribosomal RNA is filed under the name uncultured bacterium. RNAcentral describes it as "partial 16S ribosomal RNA". It matches the Rfam family "Bacterial small subunit ribosomal RNA", at positions 29 to 507 of the family's 1533-position model. The record is from RNAcentral.